GAGUUUGAUCCUGGCUCAGAACGAACGCUGGCGGCAGGCCUAACACAUGCAAGUCGAGCGCGCCUUUCGGGGUGAGCGGCGGACGGGUUAGUAACGCGUGGGAAUAUACCCUUUGGUACGGAAUAGCCUCUGGAAACGGAGAGUAAUACCGUAUGAGCCCUUUGGGGGAAAGAUUUAUCGCCAAGGGAUUAGCCCGCGUUAGAUUAGGUAGUUGGUGGGGUAAUGGCCUACCAAGCCUACGAUCUAUAGCUGGUUUUAGAGGAUGAUCAGCAACACUGGGACUGAGACACGGCCCCAGACUCCUACGGGAGGCAGCAGUGGGGAAUCUUGGACAAUGGGGGCAACCCUGAUCCAGCCAUGCCGCGUGAGUGAUGAAGGCCUUAGGGUCGUAAAGCUCUUUCGCCUGUGAAGAUAAUGACGGUAGCAGGUAAAGAAACCCCGGCUAACUCCGUGCCAGCAGCCGCGGUAAUACGGAGGGGGUUAGCGUUGUUCGGAAUUACUGGGCGUAAAGCGCACGUAGGCGGAUCGGAAAGUUGGGGGUGAAAUCCCGGGGCUCAACCCCGGAACUGCCUCCAAAACUAUCGGUCUAGAGUUCGAGAGAGGUGAGUGGAAUUCCGAGUGUAGNNGNNNAAUUCGUAGAUAUUCGGAGGAACACCAGUGGCGAAGGCGGCUCANCGGCUCGAUACUGACGCUGAGGUGCGAAAGUGUGGGGAGCAAACAGGAUUAGAUACCCUGGUAGUC
This 741-nucleotide ribosomal RNA is filed under the name uncultured marine bacterium. RNAcentral's name for it is "bacterial SSU rRNA". It matches the Rfam family "Bacterial small subunit ribosomal RNA", at positions 9 to 795 of the family's 1533-position model. The record is from RNAcentral.